Long non-coding RNA from Zerene cesonia (dogface butterfly), 716 nucleotides. RefSeq lists it as uncharacterized. The transcript is spliced from 4 exons. The record is from RefSeq and is a predicted model, not a curated record. NCBI's taxonomy places the organism in Eukaryota, Metazoa, Arthropoda, Insecta, Lepidoptera, Pieridae.
AUGUGUUAUUACCGGCUUAGUGCAGUGUUCAAUGGUAAUAUAUCACGUCAGGGAUUGUGGAUCAAUCACGAAGUAAACAGUUUCUUUUAAAUUAUCGUAUGAUUUGAGUUUGUUAAUCAGUUGUGUAUGUCUAUAGUCUAUACGCCUAUACGGACGUUGGAAGCGAUGGCGUCAUGAGAAAUGGAUGGAGGCUGAUAAUAAGAGGAACAAACGCAACAAAAGCAUAGCUAUAAAAAGUAAAAUUUACUACGAGGAGAUAUAGAAGAUGAGAGAAGACAGAUACUUUUAACGCCAGUUGAUUAAUAGAAGCAGAGCUCGAAAAAAAACGCAAUGACAGCGGGAAAUAAUAAACGUAAGAAAAGAAAUGCCGAAUUUUACUACCUACAGGUCGAUGAUUGCUUGGCUAACAACAAAAUAUAUUCAAACUACAGAUAUGGUCAGAUACACUCCGAUAAUGCUAUAAAAAGGGCCUGAACAGAGUUUCUCUUUGUCGUCGUCGUGGUUUCUUUAUGAAGAAUUAAGCCAAGAGAAGCAAAUUGAUAUGAUGAUGAUAAAGUCACUUUCAGGUAAUAUAGCUAUCUCUGAAAAUACAAAGACAGGGCGACUUCGCGUUGGAUAAAUAAAUAUCGUAGAUGUGAAAAGAGACAGCAAUCUAAACCCAAUCUUUAAUUAUUCGUUUCUACUUAAGUUAGUUUGUAAAAUGAUUAAUGAAGAUG